UACGUAGGGUGCAAGCGUUGUCCGGAAUUAUUGGGCGUAAAGGGCGCGUAGGCGGGAUGGCAAGUCGGUCGUGAAAUCCCUCGGCUCAACCGAGGAACGUCGAUCGAUACUGCUGUUCUUGAGGAUUGCAGAGGAGACUGGAAUUCCCGGUGUAGCGGUGAAAUGUGUAGAGAUCGGGAGGAACACCGGUGGCGAAGGCGGGUCUCUGGGCAAUUCCUGACGCUGAGGCGCGAAAGCGUGGGGAGCAAACGGG
This 253-nucleotide ribosomal RNA is filed under the name uncultured bacterium. RNAcentral's name for it is "partial 16S ribosomal RNA". It matches the Rfam family "Bacterial small subunit ribosomal RNA", at positions 524 to 776 of the family's 1533-position model. The record is from RNAcentral.